RNAcentral lists this ribosomal RNA (114 nucleotides) under uncultured bacterium. Its description in RNAcentral is "partial 16S ribosomal RNA". It matches the Rfam family "Bacterial small subunit ribosomal RNA", at positions 1369 to 1482 of the family's 1533-position model. The record is from RNAcentral.
CGUUCCCGGCCUUGUACACACCGCCCGUCACACCACGAAAGUCGGUAACACCCGAAGCCAGUGGCCCAACCCUUUGGGAGGGAGCUGUCGAAGGUGGGAUCGGCGAUUGGGGUG